GAUCAUGGCUCAGGAUGAACGCUAGCUACAGGCUUAACACAUGCAAGUCGAGGGGCAGCAUUUCAGUUUGCUUGCAAACUGAAGAUGGCGACCGGCGCACGGGUGAGUAACACGUAUCCAACCUGCCGAUAACUCCGGGAUAGCCUUUCGAAAGAAAGAUUAAUACCGGAUGGCAUAUGAUUAUCGCAUGAUAAUCCUAUUAAAGAAUUUCGGUUAUCGAUGGGAGUGCGUU
This 232-nucleotide ribosomal RNA is filed under the name uncultured bacterium. RNAcentral's name for it is "partial 16S ribosomal RNA". It matches the Rfam family "Bacterial small subunit ribosomal RNA", at positions 15 to 237 of the family's 1533-position model. The record is from RNAcentral.